UUUAAACAAAAAUUUUACGGAAACCAUGGUUGUGAAACGAACAACAUCAAUUUGUAAGUAAAAAUAUUAUUUGUUAGUCUCUAUUGAGCUGAAAUGGAUCAGGUGGACAAGUGGGUACUUAUUAUAACAUGUUGCCUGCUAGUGGGAUACGGCCUUUACAGAAUAAUGAAACGAGGAAAUAAAGAGCAAACGCCACCGCUUAGGAGAAGUCGCAGAUUGGCAGGUCUAGAUCCCCUUCCUUAAACUACCACGGCUGAAUUGAUUACAAGAUAGGCUCUUAUAAUGAAGCUUUAUUAGAAAAAUUUGAAUAUGGAUUUUUGAAAAAUUUCUUAUAUACACAUUGAACUUUUAUAUAAAAAAAUUAUAGUCAAGAUUUAGAUAUUAAAUAUUAUACAUUUUUA
This is a long non-coding RNA of Aethina tumida (small hive beetle), 401 nucleotides long. RefSeq lists it as uncharacterized. The transcript is spliced from 3 exons. The record is from RefSeq and is a predicted model, not a curated record. Lineage: Eukaryota; Metazoa; Arthropoda; Insecta; Coleoptera; Nitidulidae.